UACGGGGGGAGCAAGCGUUGUUCGGAGUUACUGGGCGUAAAGGGCGCGUAGGCGGUUGAUUAAGUGAGAUGUGAAAUCCCUGGGCUUAACCUAGGAACUGCAUCUCAUACUGGUCAGCUAGAGUAUUGUAGAGGGUAGUGGAAUUUCCGGUGUAGCGGUGAAAUGCGUAGAGAUCGGAAGGAACACCAGUGGCGAAGGCGGCUACCUGGACAAAUACUGACGCUGAGGCACGAAAGCGUGGGGAGCAAACAGG
RNAcentral lists this ribosomal RNA (253 nucleotides) under uncultured bacterium. RNAcentral's name for it is "partial 16S ribosomal RNA". It matches the Rfam family "Bacterial small subunit ribosomal RNA", at positions 524 to 776 of the family's 1533-position model. The record is from RNAcentral.